RNAcentral lists this ribosomal RNA (236 nucleotides) under uncultured Bacteroidales bacterium. Its description in RNAcentral is "partial 16S ribosomal RNA". It matches the Rfam family "Bacterial small subunit ribosomal RNA", at positions 100 to 334 of the family's 1533-position model. The record is from RNAcentral. Lineage: Bacteria; Pseudomonadati; Bacteroidota; Bacteroidia; Bacteroidales.
CGGCACGGGUGCGUAACGCGUAUGCAACUUGCCUCACAGAGGGGGAUAACCCGUCGAAAGACGGACUAAUACCGCGUACACUCUAUGUUGGGCAUCCAAUGUAGAGGAAAUGAAAUUCGCUGUGAGAUAGGCAUGCGUCCCAUUAGCUAGUUGGUGAGGUAACGGCUCACCAAGGCGACGAUGGGUAGGGGAACUGAGAGGUUGAGCCCCCACACUGGUACUGAGACACGGACCAG